Molecule: long non-coding RNA, 233 nt
Organism: Juglans microcarpa x Juglans regia
Lineage: Eukaryota; Viridiplantae; Streptophyta; Magnoliopsida; Fagales; Juglandaceae
Exons: 3
Source: RefSeq, a predicted model, not a curated record
UGUUUGCAUUUUCUUUUUAUAGGCAUCUGGUUUUAAGAGGAAUAUAAAUUGAUAACCUAGUGCAUGGUUUGCUGAGGGUCUUGGUCAUUUUUCUUUGUAUCCUAAUACCCUUAAUGGAUGGUAGUUUGUCAAUGUGACUUGGUUAUAGCUGCUGAGGGAAAGUCUGUCUUUUGGCAUUGAUAAAUCAGGUUUUGGUUUAUUCAUCUUGUAUACGACAAGAGUUAGAGCUUUAU